Molecule: ribosomal RNA, 348 nt
Filed under: uncultured Leptolinea sp.
Lineage: Bacteria; Bacillati; Chloroflexota; Anaerolineae; Anaerolineales; Anaerolineaceae
Description: bacterial SSU rRNA
Rfam family: Bacterial small subunit ribosomal RNA
Source: RNAcentral
CGGGGAGUCGUAACACAGGUGCUGCAUGGCUGUCGUCAGCUCGUGUCGUGAGAUGUUCGGUUAAGUCCGCUAACGAGCGCAACCCUCGCUGUGUGUUACAAGUGUCACACGGUACUGCCGGUCUUAAGCCGGAGGAAGGUGGGGAUGACGUCAAGUCAGCAUGGCCUUUAUGUCCUGGGCUACACACACGCUACAAUGGCCAACACAAUAGGUUGCUAAGCCGCGAGGUGGAGCCAAUCCUCAAAGUUGGUCUCAGUUCAGAUUGCAGGCUGCAACCCGCCUGCAUGAAGAUGGAGUUGCUAGUAACCGCAGGUCAGCUAUACUGCGGUGAAUACGUUCCCGGGGCUU